UACGAAGGCCUCAAGCGUUAUCCGGAUUUAUUGGGCGUAAAGUGCGUGUAGGCGGUUCGGCAAGUCUGUUGUCAAACCCCACUGCUAAACGGUGGGUCCGCGACGGAAACUGCCGGACUAGAGGACGUUAGAGGGGAGUGGAACAUACGGUGUAGGGGUGAAAUCCGUUGAUAUCGUAUGGAACACCAAAGGCGAAGGCAUCUCCCUGGGGCGUUCCUGACGCUGAUGCGCGAAAGCUAGAGGAGAGAAGAGGAUUAGAUACCCUCGUA
RNAcentral lists this ribosomal RNA (269 nucleotides) under uncultured prokaryote. Its description in RNAcentral is "partial 16S ribosomal RNA". It matches the Rfam family "Bacterial small subunit ribosomal RNA", at positions 524 to 792 of the family's 1533-position model. The record is from RNAcentral.